This 161-nucleotide ribosomal RNA is filed under the name uncultured Cladosporium. RNAcentral describes it as "5.8S ribosomal RNA". The stretch from base 62 to 161 matches the Rfam family "5.8S ribosomal RNA", at positions 1 to 100 of the family's 154-position model. Rfam says of the family: 5.8S ribosomal RNA (5.8S rRNA) is a component of the large subunit of the eukaryotic ribosome. It is transcribed by RNA polymerase I as part of the 45S precursor that also contains 18S and 28S rRNA. Functionally, it is thought that 5.8S rRNA may be involved in ribosome translocation. Lineage: Eukaryota; Fungi; Ascomycota; Dothideomycetes; Cladosporiales; Cladosporiaceae. The record is from RNAcentral.
GGAGGAUAACCAAACUCUGAUUUAACGACGUUUCUUCUGAGUGGUACAAGCAAAUAAUCAAAACUUUUAACAACGGAUCUCUUGGUUCUGGCAUCGAUGAAGAACGCAGCGAAAUGCGAUAAGUAAUGUGAAUUGCAGAAUUCAGUGAAUCAUCGAAUCUU